Molecule: ribosomal RNA, 1372 nt
Filed under: uncultured bacterium
Lineage: Bacteria
Description: bacterial SSU rRNA
Rfam family: Bacterial small subunit ribosomal RNA
Source: RNAcentral
GAUGAACGCUGGCGGCGUGCCUAAUACAUGCAAGUCGAGCGAACGGACGAGAAGCUUGCUUCUCUGAUGUUAGCGGCGGACGGGUGAGUAACACGUGGAUAACCUACCUAUAAGACUGGGAUAACUUCGGGAAACCGGAGCUAAUACCGGAUAAUAUUUUGAACCGCAUGGUUCAAAAGUGAAAGACGGUCUUGCUGUCACUUAUAGAUGGAUCCGCGCUGCAUUAGCUAGUUGGUAAGGUAACGGCUUACCAAGGCAACGAUGCAUAGCCGACCUGAGAGGGUGAUCGGCCACACUGGAACUGAGACACGGUCCAGACUCCUACGGGAGGCAGCAGUAGGGAAUCUUCCGCAGUGGGCGAAAGCCUGACGGAGCAACGCCGCGUGAGUGAUGAGGGUCUUCGGAUCGUAAAACUCUGUUAUUAGGGAAGAAUAUAUGUGUAAGUAACUGUGCACAUCUUGACGGUACCUAAUCAGAAAGCCACGGCUAACUACGUGCCAGCAGCCGCGGUAAUACGUAGGUGGCAAGCGUUAUCCGGAAUUAUUGGGCGUAAAGCGCGCGUAGGCGGUUUUUUAAGUCUGAUGUGAAAGCCCACGGCUCAACCGUGGAGGGUCAUUGGAAACUGGAAAACUUGAGUGCAGAAGAGGAAAGUGGAAUUCCAUGUGUAGCGGUGAAAUGCGCAGAGAUAUGGAGGAACACCAGUGGCGAAGGCGACUUUCUGGUCUGUAACUGACGCUGAUGUGCGAAAGCGUGGGGAUCAAACAGGAUUAGAUACCCUGGUAGUCCACGCCGUAAACGAUGAGUGCUAAGUGUUAGGGGGUUUCCGCCCCUUAGUGCCGCAGCUAACGCAUUAAGCACUCCGCCUGGGGAGUACGACCGCAAGGUUGAAACUCAAAGGAAUUGACGGGGACCCGCACAAGCGGUGGAGCAUGUGGUUUAAUUCGAAGCAACGCGAAGAACCUUACCAAAUCUUGACAUCCUUUGACAACUCUAGAGAUAGAGCCUUCCCCUUCGGGGGACAAAGUGACAGGUGGUGCAUGGUUGUCGUCAGCUCGUGUCGUGAGAUGUUGGGUUAAGUCCCGCAACGAGCGCAACCCUUAAGCUUAGUUGCCAUCAUUAAGUUGGGCACUCUAAGUUGACUGCCGGUGACAAACCGGAGGAAGGUGGGGAUGACGUCAAAUCAUCAUGCCCCUUAUGAUUUGGGCUACACACGUGCUACAAUGGACAAUACAAAGGGCAGCGAAACCGCGAGGUCAAGCAAAUCCCAUAAAGUUGUUCUCAGUUCGGAUUGUAGUCUGCAACUCGACUACAUGAAGCUGGAAUCGCUAGUAAUCGUAGAUCAGCAUGCUACGGUGAAUACGUUCCCGGGUCU